This 556-nucleotide ribosomal RNA is filed under the name uncultured bacterium. RNAcentral describes it as "bacterial SSU rRNA". It matches the Rfam family "Bacterial small subunit ribosomal RNA", at positions 620 to 1172 of the family's 1533-position model. The record is from RNAcentral.
CCUGCAGUGGGUACGGGCAGACUAGAGUGCGGUAGGGGAGAUUGGAAUUCCNNNGUGUAGCGGUGGAAUGCGCAGAUAUCAGGAGGAACACCGAUGGCGAAGGCAGAUCUCUGGNNNNNNNACUGACGCUGAGGAGCGAAAGGGUGGGGAGCAAACAGGCUUAGAUACCCUGGUAGUCCACCCCGUAAACGUUGGGAACUAGUUGUGGGGUCCAUUCCACGGAUUCCGUGACGCAGCUAACGCAUUAAGUUCCCCGCCUGGGGAGUACGGCCGCAAGGCUAAAACUCAAAGGAAUUGACGGGGACCCGCACAAGCGGCGGAGCAUGCGGAUUAAUUCGAUGCAACGCGAAGAACCUUACCAAGGCUUGACAUAUACGAGAACGGGCCAGAAAUGGUCAACUCUUUGGACACUCGUAAACAGGUGGUGCAUGGUUGUCGUCAGCUCGUGUCGUGAGAUGUUGGGUUAAGUCCCGCAACGAGCGCAACCCUCGUCCUAUGUUGCCAGCACGUCAUGGUGGGGACUCAUAGGAGACUGCCGGGGUCAACUCGGAGGAAG